AGAGUUUGAUCCUGGCUCAGAAUGAACGCUGGCGGCGUGCUUAACACAUGCAAGUCGUACGAGAAAUCUUCAGCUUGCUGAAGAGAGUAAAGUGGCGCACGGGUGAGUAACGCGUGGGUAAUCUACCCCUGAAUUCGGGAUAACAUUGCGAAAGCGAUGCUNAUACCGAAUAACAUCCAUCAGGCUUUGGUCUGAUGGAUCAAAGGUGGCCUCUACAUGAAAGCUACUGUUUGGGGAUGAGCCCGCGUACCAUUAGCUAGUUGGCAGGGUAAUGGCCUACCAAGGCAGCGAUGGUUAGCUGGUCUGAGAGGAUGAUCAGCCACACUGGAACUGACACACGGUCCAGACUCCUACGGGAGGCAGCAGUGAGGAAUUUUGCGCAAU
RNAcentral lists this ribosomal RNA (384 nucleotides) under uncultured bacterium. RNAcentral describes it as "bacterial SSU rRNA". It matches the Rfam family "Bacterial small subunit ribosomal RNA", at positions 8 to 372 of the family's 1533-position model. The record is from RNAcentral.